CCGGAGACUACAAAGAUGGAGGUUUCUGACUUUCAAGAGGAUACCACCCCUAUGGAAGAUUAGAAUCUUAGACAUAAACAAUUUUAGUUAGUUAAAAUUGCACAAUGGGGCCAAAUUCCACCUAGUGGCCGAACCCCCUUUGUUUUUUGGUUGAUUUUUGAACAAUUUUCCUUUAUGUUUGGAUUAUUUGUUGGUGAUUUGUUUUUGGAUAUUAAGUUUUAAUUAAUUACCAUCUUUGAAUAAAUGAAAAUAUUUUGAAUUGAUAUUUGUUUUUAGAACUUUUAUGCAUGUGACCGAUUCAAAUUA
RNAcentral lists this long non-coding RNA (306 nucleotides) under Malus domestica (apple). RNAcentral describes it as "long non-coding RNA (MDOM_LNC007112)". Lineage: Eukaryota; Viridiplantae; Streptophyta; Magnoliopsida; Rosales; Rosaceae. The record is from RNAcentral.